Long non-coding RNA from Melopsittacus undulatus (budgerigar), 2004 nucleotides. Lineage: Eukaryota; Metazoa; Chordata; Aves; Psittaciformes; Psittaculidae. The record is from Ensembl.
GUCCCUGUCUGGACCUACAUCUCACAAAGGAAUUUGUAGCCCCUUGUAUGGAGUUAUGUGUGUUGAACAGCUCUUCUGACUUAAUAGAACACUUUGUUUCACACUAGAAUUCUCAUGUUGUUUUGAGGUAACUUCAGAAAAGAUGCCUUCAACACCGGAGCAUGGGGAAAACGCAGUGUCUAGGAGUCUCAAUCCUGUUCGGACAAAGGCACCAAAGGAGCCUCAAGUCCCCAACAGGACUUAUCCAGGAGAUGGCUGCUCGGCUGACAUGAGACAACCAUUACUUUUUACAAGGCACAGUAGUUGUUGACCAUGACUAUAUUGGCUUACCUGAACGAUCCUAUAAUCCAAGGCAACAAGACUCCGUUGCGGAAGGAGAAAUAAAUACCUACGCAAGAGAUGUCGUGUCUGCUGUACAAAUGCCACCUGCAGCCUGCAAAGACCAGGAGUCAACAGAUGGUAAACAUCAGUCUGAGCUGACAGAAGAUCAUUACAUUGAACCAAACACUACAAAGACAGAGCAAUGGCCUUCACCUUUUUCGACACUUCAGACCAAGACAGAGGAUACUUAAGCGUGGUCUUAAGUUACCUGUCAUUGACAAACAGUUUGGAACUUCUGUGGCAGACUGGAAAAAAAAAUCCAUAGCCAAAUCCACUUUUCUACUUUAUGGAUAUAGAAGUAUAUCCAUAUAGAAGAUAUAGAAGUAUUGCAACUACCCACUGGCUAAUUUGUAUGGGCGUUAAGAAGGGAUUGCUCUGUUACCAAAAACAAAGACACAUGUUCAGCUACUGUAUGAAUUUAAGAACACUGUAUGUGUCCAGUAGUUAAUUUAUGUGGGUGUUGAGAGUCCUUCAGUGACCAAAAGUACACUCACAGCCUAGUAAAAGCACAUGUUGUCAUCAUGUAUUUGAAUUUCAGAUACAGUUGGUAGAAUAGCUGUUUGGCUGUACCUGUUAUCCUCUCAAUUGCAUCACAGUCAGGACACAAUGCAUCAUUUUACUGUAAUAACCUUUUCAUUAAUCCUUAGAUAACUCAUUUCUGAUGUCAUCUAAGGAUUAAUGAAAUGUGUGAAGGUACUGUAGGAUGAAUAUAAUCUAAGCAAUUUGAUGUAAAUUUUACCUCCAGUGUAGAGAAGCUGGUGUCUUCCUGUUAUAAACCAGUUUCUUAUGCUGAGAAGCUGCAACUUUUGAUUUCUGCAGCUUUUAGUUUCUAGUCUAACCCACAGCUCUAAGAUUUGAUGAAACAGCAGAGCUGCCAAAAUCAGGUACAUGUAGUGUUCUGCACGUGAAAAUAUGUGGCCCUUCAGCUGCUCCCACUUACCGAAAUUCUGCUAGGGUGAGCAGUUUGAAUUUCUCAAAAUCUUAAGCAUAUUUAGAAUUCAUUUUUGCUUUUUUUCUCCCCAAACAUCUGCUUUCCCUAUGGCUAUAUCUUCCCAGGGCAGCUACAGAUUUGGAGACUUACACUGCCAGUGGUCAAGGGAAAGGUGAAGCACUGGUAUUACUUAUUCUCUGAAUUCCUUGAGUAAAUUGUUAAGGGUUUGGACUUCCUGCUGAAGAAGAUGGUAUUUCAGCUGAACAAGAAUUAUUUCAUGUAGAAAAAAGAUGAGUGCGAGUCAGUUCUUUUUAUAGAGGAUUGACACAAAAAAAGACAGCUAGCAGAAAACUGAAUUUAGAAAUUCAGCAACUUUAAUACUGUGGAAGGUUUGCUUAUCUUGCUCUCUGAAUGUGUGCAUUCCAUCUUAUCUCUGUGUUGAAUGUUUUGUGAUUUGUAAACAAGUGGAGGAAAGUAUUUACGAAGAGUUUUCUGUUAAUCUUAAAUCGUAAGAUGUGAUCCUCAAGGCUGAUUAGGUUAUGUAACUCGUAUCUUUAAAAGGGACCACAGCUGUAUAAGACAAGACCUCAGCCCUAUAACAGAAUCCUAUUUUAAGAUUCAAGUGAAAAUUACUUAAAGCAUUUUGUGUCUUUUGAAAAUCCAGUCCUGCGUAUAAACUUUUUCUGCUUGAG